GCCGGGUUGGCGGAAUGGUAGACGCGGCGCACUCAAAAUGCGCUGUCCGAGAGGGCGUGCGGGUUCGAGUCCCGCACCCGGCA
This 83-nucleotide transfer RNA is filed under the name Actinomycetales bacterium. RNAcentral's name for it is "tRNA-Leu". It matches the Rfam family "tRNA". Rfam says of the family: Transfer RNA (tRNA) molecules are approximately 80 nucleotides in length. Their secondary structure includes four short double-helical elements and three loops (D, anti-codon, and T loops). The record is from RNAcentral. Lineage: Bacteria; Bacillati; Actinomycetota; Actinomycetes; Actinomycetales.